Molecule: long non-coding RNA, 2407 nt
Organism: Myiozetetes cayanensis
Lineage: Eukaryota; Metazoa; Chordata; Aves; Passeriformes; Tyrannidae
Exons: 7
Source: RefSeq, a predicted model, not a curated record
GCUCUCCAAGCGCUGGGAAGUCAGGGUGGGCAGCUGAACUGGCAGACACUGAAAGGCUGUCCUCUUUCCCUGUCCCAUGGCAGAAGAUGACUGAUACCUGUGUCGAUGUAAAGAGAGAGGCAGCAUCUUUGGUGGUGGCACGAAGUUUAGGUGGCCUGUUUGAAACAUCACACCUUUAGUCCAAGUGAGAGGGUGCCUCGAACAGUGCUUCAAGAAUGAGCAGGAGGAGCUCCAGAAAUGCUGACUGGGUGGCACUGGUUCAUUUGGGUGGAAAAUGCUGAGUAAGACAGGUUCUGAGUGCUACUUUAGAUGAAAACAGCACAUUCUCAGUUGAGCACUUGUGUUCUGCAUUUUGUGCCAUUUUCUAUUUUCUCCUUGUGAGUUUUCAGUGUUUCUGCUUUACUGAUGCAAAUACUCACCCAAAGCACUCAUUGAGCUGGCUAUAAUGAGCACUUGGCUGCUGAAAAUUUGGGAUUGCAUCUGAAAUUCUAACAAAAAUGUCUGUCAGUUUAUUCUACAAACUGUAAAGGACUGUUUAAUAGAUCAUGCAAUCACAGGAUGGAAGUAGCAGGAAGGGACCAAUUGUAAUGUUUUGCUUGGGACUUUUUCCAGUUGGGACCUCUCGACAGGCUAAUUCAUCUAUGUGGCCACUCACUCAAAUGACAGAGGAAAGCCUUUCACACAUCUAAGCCAAAAUAAGUGUUUUUUGACCCUACAAUCUUCAGACUAAAUAGCAAUUUGUGACUGUUAUUAUUAAAAUGUUCUGGAUGAUAAAUCUUUCCCUAGGAAAUCCAUGAUAUCACCUCUGGAAGCCACUUGAGAACUUCUCUGAGUAUGGUUAUAAAGUUCCCAGAAAAGAAAAGAACAGGACCACCUUGGACACCAUUAGUCCUCCAACCAUCCUAUUUUCUGAGCAUCAAGUACAAUACGUUGACUUAAUGAAGACAUGAAUAGGAAGAUUUGCAUGUCAAGAGUAGGAAUGUGUCUCUGGUACCAGGAGGGAAUAUGAGAAUUUGCUGAUGAAGGCACUAAGUGGCUGAACAGGACAUCAGCUGGCUUUCAUAGAGCCCUGUGUGUCAGGGUCCAGCAGUCACAAGCCUGUGACUGAGGCUGAGAGGGAAGGGCAGUCUCUACCAAGAAGAAGGUCGUUCCCUUUGUGGAGAGGUGGAAAAUGAAUGAAAGAAACCCCUGGGAAGGCUCCAAAUAGAUCCUCACAGUCCACCACCAGUGUCACAUGAGACUACUCAGAAGAGCUUAAACACAGUUACCUGAACUUUGUUGUAUUUGGAGUCACAUCUCUUAAAAUAAGUAAAACUACCCAGUGAUACCUCUGCACUGGCUCUGCGUGAUUUAUGCUGGGAAUAGAAAAAGCAAAAUGGGGAGCAUCUUCAGGAUGAAAAAAGAUGGGUGACUCAUUCAGACGGCUGCAAUGUGGAGGCUCAAGGAAAGUGAUGUGAAUGCUGCUUCACAAGGAAAGCUAAAAAGAAAGCUGAACAAGGAAAGCUUGUAAGGAAACUCACUGUGGGAGAAAGUCCUUCAAAGAGCCAGAUCCUUCCAUUGUGAGAGCUGAAGGGUCUGCAGACAGCCAGGUAUCUAAUGGAAGGGAAGGCUGAACCAGAGGUGCUACCUGGAGGUGCACAGCAAAGGACAAGAGCUUGUGCGGGACACAAGCUGCAACACUGGGAAUUUCAAUGAGGUAUUAGGAAAAAAAUUUAUUUUGAAGACAGUCAACCAGUGGAACAGGAGCCCAGAGGAGUUGUGGACUCCUGAUCCUUCAUUUAUAGCUCAGCUGAACCAGGCUCUGCACAACUGAAUCUGCUCAGAGUGGCAGGUGGGGUCCAGCAGCCUCCAGAUAUUUCUUCCUUCCUCUUCUUCUUUCUAAGUCUAGAUUACAUCUGAUCAAAUGGCUUUUAUCUUCUCUCUUCUUUAAUUUCAUUUUUGCAGUGUAAUUUUUGACAGGAUUUAAAUCAGUGCAAAUAGUUUAUUUUUUUCACUGAUCAGUUUUCCCACAAAAAAAACCCCAAGUGAGACAAUGCCAAAUACAAGGAAAAGAAGAAGAUGGAGCAAAAGCAACAAGAAUCCACUCAAAAUUUUGUAUAUGAAAAAAAAAAAAAGAAGGUAGAAAGCAAGAAAAGAACCAGUAAAAAAUUUAGAAACACAAAUUUUCAGAAAUUUCGUAAGAGGUUUUGGAAAAAAGGCCAAAAAUAUAUUUUUUCCAAUUGCAUAGAAUGAAAAUUACUAUGAGAUUUUACCCCCCAGUAUAAUUUUCUCCACAUGGUUUCUAAUUUGUGAUUACUUAUAAAUUUGCAAAUUUUGAUGAAUUAUUCAUGAUGUUUAUACAUUCUGUCUUUCUCCUGACUAGAAACACCAAGACUAGUUUUUCUAGGUGAAUCAUGAAGCAGAUCUU